GACGAAUGCUGGCUGCGUGCUUAACACAUGCAAGUCGAACGGUGAACAGGGGCUUGCCCCUGGGAUCAGUGGCGAACGGGUGAGUAACACGUGGGCAACCUGCCCCUCACUCUGGGAUAACUCCGGGAAACCGGGGCUAAUACCGGAUACGACCUGGUGCGACAUCGCACCGGGUGGAAAGAACUUCGGUGAGGGAUGGGCCCGCGGCCUAUCAGCUUGUUGGUGGGGUAACGGCCCACCAAGGCGACGACGGGUAGCCGGCCUGAGAGGGCGACCGGCCACACUGGGACUGAGACACGGCCCAGACUCCUACGGGAGGCAGCAGUGGGGAAUAUUGCGCAAUGGGCGAAAGCCUGACGCAGCGACGCAGCGUGAGGGACGAAGGCCUUCAGGUUGUAAACCUCUUUCAGCGGGGACGAAGCGCAAGUGACGGUACCCGCAGAAGAAGCACCGGCUAACUACGUGCCAGCCGCCGCGGUAA
This 481-nucleotide ribosomal RNA is filed under the name uncultured bacterium. Its description in RNAcentral is "partial 16S ribosomal RNA". It matches the Rfam family "Bacterial small subunit ribosomal RNA", at positions 28 to 523 of the family's 1533-position model. The record is from RNAcentral.